GGAGAGCGGGAGCAGGCGUGACACCCACUCCCUUUUCCCAGGAUAAAUAAUUGCGAGAAACUAGUCAAUUAUCAUAAAUUAGGUGAGGUGAAAUGAUACUGUUAAAUGAUAUGGAAUGUCUAAAUCUGUCUUCACACAGCAUUCUCUACUCUGCUAUGAGCGUUGGUUAUCGACUACGAACAAUCAGAGAAGGGGCAUAAUAGUGUUGUUCUGGGACCAUAACGUGAGUCUGACUGGGGAAGAGGGGUCUCCUCAAGGGACCCGCGUGUGUAUGUGUGAGGGGCGGGGGAAUCCGAGGUCUACCAACCAGGACAAGACAUUGGCCAAUCAGAAUCCACCCAUCCCUGCACAAUUGGCACUCCUCUCGAACGGUUACAGCUGUAUGUGCAUUCACAUAGCAAGCCUACUCUUCAGCUGGGCUGGAGGUUAGGAUGACUGGUUUUAUUGUGUGUGUUUGUUGUGUAGGUGAUUGUAUGCAGGUCUGUUGGAGAUUCUGGAGUGCCUGAGCCCCUUACUACCCAGAGAGUGGAACACCUGGUUCUCUGUCUUGUUCAACCACAUGAUAUGCUUACACUUUACAACAACUCUCAUGAAUAGGCCAUUAAAAAUGGUUUAUAAAUUAAUUUGUUAGAAAUGCUUAGGAUGUUUUGUUUAGAAGUGCUUCAUUAAUGUUAACAAAUAAGAAAAUAAAGUAUUAACAGCAUGUACACUGUUUAUGAAUAUUAAUGUUUAUACAUGACAAUUUUUUUAUUUUUUUAUUAUACUGAAUGAUUUUUACAGCUGAUUCUUUGUUUUCACUACAGGUGUAGGAAGAACAACAAACCAAAUAACUUCUUUGGCAUGGAGGACUGUGUUAUGGUCACCCAAAGGUAAUCAGAUCCAUUGACGAGCUGGAACAGUGUAGGGUGCAUUAUGAAAAUCAACUGGGUCUGUGAGAACCAGACGCACAAUCAACUGGGUCUGUGAGAACCAGACCCACAUCCAUGUUGAACACUAGUUGUAAUUGUUAUGGCUCCAUGGUUAAAGAAGGGGCAGUCUGGAAUUGUCCAAGUGGCAGGGUGACUGGUCGCUUUGCUGUUUGAAUCCCAGAUUGACUCUUUAUUAAGUCUAUCUGAAGGAGUUGUGUUGAAUAUCCAUGUGAGGUUUUAAGCAGUUUUAGUAUUUAUUUGUAAUAACUGACAACAUUAUAUCAGAAAUUAUUAUGGACUCCAGUGCACUAAAUAUACAGUAGAAAUGAUCAGGUGUAGUAUUAGUAGUGAAGUAUACAUGCAUACCAUUAUGUUUAUUUAACUGAGCAAGUCCGUUAAAGAACAAAUUCUUAUUUACAAUGACAGUCUAGGUAACAGUGGGUUAACUGCCUUGUUCAGGGGCAAAACGACAGAUGUUUACCAUGUCAGCUCAAGGAUUCAAUCCAGCAACCUUUCGGUUAUUGGCCCAACGCUCUAACCACUAGGCUACAUGCCGCCCCAUGUAAUGUAUUGUAGUGAAUUUGGGGCCUAGUCCCUCAUCCAGCGACUGUCAACACAACACCUCAGUCGUUACACCAAGAGAUAUGAAACCCUUGAUGAGGUUGCUAGGUGUUGGGUUAAGGUCACUACAGUAUAAACUCAGUAUAGACCAGGUUAUGAGGUUGCUAGGUGUUGGGUUAAGGUCACUACAGUAUAAACUCAGUAUAGACCAGGUUAUGAGGUUGCUAGGUGUUGGGUUAAGGUCACUACAGUAUUAACUCAGUAUAGACCAGGUUAUGAGGUUGUAGGUGUUGGGUUAAGGUCACUACAGUAUAAACUCAGUAUAGACCAGGUUAUGAGGUUGCUAGGUGUUGGGUUAAGGUCACUACAGUAUUAACUCAGUAUAGACCAGGUUAUGAGGUUGCUAGGUGUUGGGUUAAGGUCACUACAGUAUAAACUCAGUAUAGACCAGGUUAUGAAAUUGCUAGGUGUUGGGUUAAGGCCACUACAGUAUAAACUCAGUAUAGACCAGGUUAUGAGGUUGCUAGGUGUUGGGUUAAGGUCACUACAGUAUAAACUCAGUAUAGACCAGGUUAUGAGGUUGCUAGGUGUUGGGUUAAGGUCACUACAGUAUAAACUCAGUAUAGACCAGGUUAUGAGGUUGCUAGGUGUUGGGUUAAGGUCACUACAGUAUAAACUCAGUAUAGACCAGGUUAUGAAAUUGCUAGGUGUUGGGUUAAGGUCAGUAUCAACUAGGUUGUGGGGACUGUCUGGUAAUUAGUCAAAUCUUAUGUCAUUGGUGUAGAAAAAGUAAUAAUCAAUAUGCUGGAUGUAUUAUAAACAUUGUAUUGUGAAGACAUGUUUUAUUUAGUUAAUGUCAUUACACUAGACCAAAACCUGUCUAGCUGUCUGUUGAAUUACACUAGACCAAAACCUGUCUAGCUGUGUGUUGAAUUACACUGGACCUAAACCUGUCUAGCUGUGUGUUGAAUUACACUGGACCAAAACCUGUCUAGCUGUCUGUUGAAUUACACUGGACCUAAAC
This 2493-nucleotide long non-coding RNA is filed under the name Salmo salar (Atlantic salmon). RNAcentral describes it as "lncRNA (ENSSSAG00000104351.1)". Lineage: Eukaryota; Metazoa; Chordata; Actinopteri; Salmoniformes; Salmonidae. The record is from RNAcentral.